Non-coding RNA from Dermacentor silvarum, 86 nucleotides. The record is from the annotation of a RefSeq genome assembly. Lineage: Eukaryota; Metazoa; Arthropoda; Arachnida; Ixodida; Ixodidae.
GUCAGGAUGGCCGAGCGGUCUCUAACGCGCUGCGCUCAGGUCGCAGUCCGGUCUUCCGGGCGUGGGUUCGAAUCCCACUUCUGACA